This 337-nucleotide long non-coding RNA is filed under the name Setaria viridis. Its description in RNAcentral is "long non-coding RNA (SVIR_LNC003437)". Lineage: Eukaryota; Viridiplantae; Streptophyta; Magnoliopsida; Poales; Poaceae. The record is from RNAcentral.
AUGGUGGGGGCGAUCGUGGUUCCUCUUUCGGCAAGGGGAAAAUCAUAGUUGGCCCUCAGCAUAAGCCGAAGAAAAAGAGCGCGCUGGAAACAGCAAUGCUUCAUUAUUUGCAGCAAUGUCAUGAAGAAGCUGUUGCCGCGGGUUAGGAACCUCCUUUUGGUGGUCGUUAUGCUCCACCCUUAGUCCCGGGUGUUUCACGUCCACUUAGUACUACCAUUUCAGGUGGCACAAAUAAACCUAAGGAUGAGGCUGGGUCAGCGGAACCUUCGUCUUCACUGUCCAAGGAUGCUUAAAGUCCUCCUAGAUAAUAAUCAGUGGAUGGCUUGUUGUAUUGUAU